RNAcentral lists this ribosomal RNA (253 nucleotides) under uncultured bacterium. Its description in RNAcentral is "partial 16S ribosomal RNA". It matches the Rfam family "Bacterial small subunit ribosomal RNA", at positions 524 to 776 of the family's 1533-position model. The record is from RNAcentral.
UACGUAGGGGGCAAGCGUUGUCCGGAUUUAUUGGGCGUAAAGAGCGUGUAGGCGGCCUGGUAGGUCAGCUGUGAAAACUCGAGGCUCAACCUCGAGACGCCGGUUGAAACCAUCAGGCUAGAGUCCGGAAGAGGAGAGUGGAAUUCCCGGUGUAGCGGUGAAAUGCGCAGAUAUCGGGAAGAACACCCGUGGCUAAGGCGGCUCUCUAGUACGGUACUGACGCUGAGACGCCAAAGCGUGGGGAGCGAACAGG